AUGGCCUCAGCACAGAGCACACAUGAAGUGGUACUGUGGUGCUUUCUGCCAAGAACUGGCCAGCGCUUAAUUGCCUUGGUCUGUUUUUUCCUACCAGAAUCAUUUUCAACCUCCUGGUACUGCGUGACUGUCAUCUGCAGCUGUGAUGGUGAAGAAACAGAUUUUCACCAGUAUGCAUUGAAGGGGAAGCCACAGAGGAGGAGAAUAAGGACCAGCAGUGCGGGAAAUUGAACCCAGGACCUAGCACAUGCUAGGCAAGUGCAAGCACUGCUGAGAUCGAACUUCAAAGGUAUCCAGGCACUAGGACCUUCUCUGCAUGGAAGGUUUUCCUAGUGAUGAAAUGUCUCCACAGGUAAGCCAGUUACACUCUCCUGUAUCAUUUAUUCCCAUUUCCUUCCUGGUUUCGUUCGUCCUACAGAUGGGGAAAUGGUCAGCAUAUUCCCUGGCUCAGAGGGACUGUGCGUUUGUUUUUGCUUUUUGUGGUGAAAAGUUGAGACAUCUGCAAGGUACUUAGGGGAGGAUAAUGUGCGUAUCGUGCUCCUGCAGUCCGUUUUCUGCCCCGCGUCCCUGCCCUGCUUCUGUCCAGUGGAGCUGGUCAGGCUAUGAGGGAAGCUGCUGCUCAACUCUGCGCUGGUUUCCCCAGGGGUUGCAUCCCCAGGGGAGCUCAGCCUCCAGCCCCAGAAGUUCUUCCCUUCUGGUGUCAGCAGCAGCAGCCCGGAGAUGAAUGAGGGUGUGCGAAGAACAACAUCUGGCUCUCAGCACCCCGC
This 767-nucleotide long non-coding RNA is filed under the name Chinchilla lanigera (long-tailed chinchilla). Its description in RNAcentral is "lncRNA (ENSCLAG00000023721.1)". The record is from RNAcentral. Lineage: Eukaryota; Metazoa; Chordata; Mammalia; Rodentia; Chinchillidae.